UCACCAUACUAAAUCUCAUCCAAUCCCCACGUUGAACCAAAUCUCACCCGAUCCACUCUAAUUUCGUUUAAGGUGCACCAAAUUCAUGAAUUAGACGAAAGAUCAUACAAUUUUGUUCGAGAAAAAAAAAUAUUAAAUAAUUUUGAAACAAAAUAUUUAGGUCAUGAAACAAACACUUGUAUUACCUGCCAGAGUUCUUCAGUAAUUUUAGUAUACCUGUCGAGAAAUCAUCACAUAGUUUGAUUGUUAAGAAUCGAAGCAAAUAACAGGGAAAUUCUCAAACUAAAUUAAAUUCACAGGCACCUUUACCGCCGUUUGCACGAAAGGAAGAAGAAAUCGGGCUGGAGUGCAC
Molecule: long non-coding RNA, 352 nt
Filed under: Erythranthe guttata (spotted monkey flower)
Lineage: Eukaryota; Viridiplantae; Streptophyta; Magnoliopsida; Lamiales; Phrymaceae
Description: long non-coding RNA (EGUT_LNC000755)
Source: RNAcentral